RNAcentral lists this long non-coding RNA (306 nucleotides) under Carica papaya (papaya). RNAcentral's name for it is "long non-coding RNA (CPAP_LNC004713)". The record is from RNAcentral. Lineage: Eukaryota; Viridiplantae; Streptophyta; Magnoliopsida; Brassicales; Caricaceae.
UUCUUAGAUUUUCAUAAUAAGAUUGAAACAUACGUCAAAAUGACGUGAAAAUAUACAAAAUAAAACAGCAAAAAAGAUUUAAAAAAUCUCACUGAGGGUUGGGUUAGGAUUCUGGCGCGGCGACGCCAUCGUGUUUCGUUACCUGGUCCUCCUUCUCCGGCAGCUCUUCCUCUCGGUCAGGCCGUUUUUGGCUAGUUCGUUGUGAAAAUAUGUUUAAAUCAUGGUUAAGAGGUAUUUCUCAGUGAAAAGAAGAGAAAAACAUAAGCUUACUAGCGGUUUCGAUCUCCCAAUAUGGCGGCUCAGCCG